CUAAUCCCUGUUUUACAAGAAAUUCACUAGAGACAUAUAGGCAUAUCUCAAUGCGGUAUCUCUACUGCUCAGAAAGGCGACGGUGCUCCCAUAGACAGCGCAAGUCGACUCACAGUGGAAGUCAAUGAAAUGAAAGGCGUCACCAUCAUAAGGACUGGUUUUCAGGGUAAACGGAAUGUCAACAAAACGUCACUUCGUUUGCCCAACGCUGAAUGAUGAGAGUGAUUUGAUUUUUAAAGGUCGAUUCGCACUCGCUUGACAGAAAGGAAAGGAACAUCAAAAUAUUCCACAAUUCAUGUCCAAUUUCGUAUUCACUUAACGGGAAGAGACAGAACAUCAAGGUCACAGAACAAUAAGAUAGACGAAAUAUUCUGUCCAAGUUUAACGAUACUGAAGCAGAGAAUGACGUUACUACUUCUAGUUGCCUGGGGGUGAACUUCGAAUAUGGGAAAAUAUUAUUGCCUUUCGAAAUACGAGUAUUAGUGCGUAUAAUUACGAUGAGAAAGGUAGAAACGAAAAUUUCAAAAGUAACAAUCAAUCGGAUAGCCAUGUGCGUGUACUCGCAAAAAAAUUACGUUAUGGACAUGGUACAAACGCAUCUAGUUACGUGAAACCAGGAACACCUAUCCACGAAAUUAUAAAAAAACAUAAAAGCCGGAACUAAAUCAAAUGCACAGUGAUAGUGGGGAAAGCCAAUGAUGUUUACCAACGUGAACUAUCGAGUGCCGUCGAAAACGUAACGGAAAUACUGGAUACCAAUCAGAGUAAACAAUGUUCAUCAUUGGAAUUCCGCAUAGACCAUACCACAUAAACGAUUCGUGUGUAAACAAAGAAAUCAUGAAAGCCAACAAACAGUUCGAGAAGAUAUGCAAAAUGUAUGAAAAUUUCUACCUAUUAACUACCUAAAGAGAGACAAUUUUACAAGACAUGGUAUGCACUUAAACAGUAUAAUAGUACAGCAACCACCACCAACUGCAGCAGUGAAACCAACAAAAACUACAGCAAAAAAAAAAAAAAACCACUGUCAAUAUCAGAAACAAAAGCACCAUCAUCAGCUGAAAUUGCACAGCCUUUACCAGCGACAGAAAACAGAGCAUCGAGUGAAUCGAGACAAUCCUCAUCAGAUGUGGCAGGAACUACAGAUGCAGCAACAUCAUCUCUAUCAACAGCAGAACCACCUUCAUCAGAGACAACAACAGAGCCACUGUAACAAGUGGUGAUAGCAUCAGCAUUGCCAGAAUCAGGACUAUCAUCAUCACAUGAACAAGCAACAAGGGAAGAAGCAACAACAGAAGAAUCAACAACAUCAACAGAAGUAACAACAGCAGAAGAAUCAAUAGGAACCACUCAUAAAAAAAGAAAAACUUCACCACAUGCCAUCUUUAGGAUUUUUUAGUAGAAACUGGGAGGAAAAAACCAUUAAGAUAAUUAAUCUACAAAAAGUGGUGUCUGGCCAGUUUAGAGUAGAUAACUUUGAUAACAUCACAUCCGGAAUAGCAAAAAAUAACCUUAUUAUGCAUUUGAAUAUUGGAGGUUUAUCAAGUAAUCUGGUCAGUAAGCUUUAUGACUUAGAACUAUUUCUAGAGAGAGCAAAAUGGUCUGUAAAGGUUAUUCGCUUAAGUGAACAUUGGCUUAGAGAUGAAAAUAUAAAUUUAUUGAACAAACUUACAGCUUAUGAAGUAGCAGCUAGCUUCUGUAGAUACAAUGGGUAUAGUGGUCCAUGUAUUCUGGUUCAUUCAUCAGUAAAAUACCAAAUGAAGAACGCACAUUUGUGAGUUUCUGCGUAGAACUUAAGGACUGUAACAUGCUUAUAUCGUACUCCUAGUUACUCAAUCCCCUGCAGUUUUCUGGUUAAACUUGAAAAUUUACUCCACCAACUCAAAACUGAAAAGUUAUGUAAAAACAUUGUUGUUUGUGCUGAUUUUAAUAUAUAUGUGAGAAAAAAAUGACAAAUUUGCCUUUAAGAUGAA
Schistocerca gregaria is the source of this 1970-nucleotide long non-coding RNA. RefSeq lists it as uncharacterized. The record is from RefSeq and is a predicted model, not a curated record. Lineage: Eukaryota; Metazoa; Arthropoda; Insecta; Orthoptera; Acrididae. The transcript has 2 exons.